AUGUCCUGUGUCCCGCCACGGCCAGUCAGAGAGGGAGAGAGGGAAUGUGAGCGCCUUCGGAGACCAGAAGAAAGUGUUGGCCCUCCUGCAUCUGGAGUUACAAGCAGUGGUGAGAUGCCCCAUAUGUGUGCUGAGAAUUUCCCUCUGGUCCUCUGCAAGAGCAGGACAUACCCUUAACCGCUGAGCCCGACCUUGUUUUAGCCACGUGAAGUGCGCAUCCAAACCACCAUCUCAUUUCAGAACGUUUCCACACAUGAGACCCAUUUCUCCCCUUUGGUCCCCUGGGAGCCAGUCAUGUACUCUCUGAGACUGUGAACCUGUCUGUCAGGACAUUUCAUACAUACGGGGGUCAUUCAUACGAGUGGAGUGGCUUUAAGGGAGGGGUCCAUCCAGCAACUCCCUGAUACGUUUAAAAUGAAUUUACCACACAACUUGGUCAUUCCACUCCAGUGUAUGUGUCGAGAAGAGUUGAAAGCUCUUUGAAACGUUUUUAAAGAAUUUAAAGUGUAAAACCCUGUGUACAGGAAUGUUUGUAGAUGUAGUGCAGCCAAAUGGCACCCACGUGAUGACAAGCUACGCAAAUGGGCUGUGUUCAUGAAGGCAAGGGUGGGGCUGCUGUGUGUGGCCCACAGAAAAGCCUUACCUGUUCUUUCUUCAACAAGAACGAUACCAGGCGCGUAGUAGGUAUCCUGUAAAUACAGACUGGAC
This 708-nucleotide long non-coding RNA is filed under the name Rattus norvegicus (Norway rat). RNAcentral's name for it is "long non-coding RNA NONRATT032931". The record is from RNAcentral. Lineage: Eukaryota; Metazoa; Chordata; Mammalia; Rodentia; Muridae.